AUUGAACGCUGGCGGCAGGCCUAACACAUGCAAGUCGAGCGGAUGAAGGGAGCUUGCUCCUGGAUUCAGCGGCGGACGGGUGAGUAAUGCCUAGGAAUCUGCCUGGUAGUGGGGGAUAACGUCCGGAAACGGGCGCUAAUACCGCAUACGUCCUGAGGGAGAAAGUGGGGGAUCUUCGGACCUCACGCUAUCAGAUGAGCCUAGGUCGGAUUAGCUAGUUGGUGGGGUAAAGGCCUACCAAGGCGACGAUCCGUAACUGGUCUGAGAGGAUGAUCAGUCACACUGGAACUGGGACAAGGUCCAGACUCCUAAGGGAGGCAGCAGUGGGGAAUAUUGGACAAUGGGCGAAAGCCUGAUCCAGCCAUGCCGCGUGUGUGAAGAAGGUCUUCGGAUUGUAAAGCACUUUAAGUUGGGAGGAAGGGCAGUAAGUUAAUACCUUGCUGUUUUGACGUUACCAACAGAAUAAGCACCGGCUAACUUCGUG
RNAcentral lists this ribosomal RNA (484 nucleotides) under uncultured bacterium. Its description in RNAcentral is "partial 16S ribosomal RNA". It matches the Rfam family "Bacterial small subunit ribosomal RNA", at positions 30 to 507 of the family's 1533-position model. The record is from RNAcentral.